CGAUCAAGAAUAAGGACGCUUGCCACCGAUCAGGACCCCUAUAUGGGAGUGUCUUGCAAGACGAGAUUGAAAUUUGGACUACAGAAACACUUGGAGCACAAAAUAGUUAAUUAAUAUAUCCGAUCGAGAUAUCUCAUCUAGAUCAUGGAGCUCGAGCUCUCGUUGACUAGACCUCUGACGCUCCAGACAUGGCAUUGUACAUCCCAU
RNAcentral lists this long non-coding RNA (207 nucleotides) under Hordeum vulgare. RNAcentral's name for it is "long non-coding RNA (HVUL_LNC002639)". The record is from RNAcentral. Lineage: Eukaryota; Viridiplantae; Streptophyta; Magnoliopsida; Poales; Poaceae.